RNAcentral lists this transfer RNA (75 nucleotides) under Ardenticatenia bacterium. RNAcentral's name for it is "tRNA-Asp". It matches the Rfam family "tRNA". Rfam says of the family: Transfer RNA (tRNA) molecules are approximately 80 nucleotides in length. Lineage: Bacteria; Bacillati; Chloroflexota; Ardenticatenia. The record is from RNAcentral.
GGCGCUGUAGGGGAGACUGGAGUCCCCGUCACCCUGUCAAGGUGAAGAUCGCGGGUUCAAGUCCCGUCAGCGCCG